UCUGUCUGGGGUUAUGGAAAGUCUAACCUGCCCACUGAAAUAUUAAAGGGCCGCGGUAUUAUGACCGUGCAAAGGUAGCAUAAUCAUUAGGUUUUUAAAUGGGAUCUUGAAUGAAUGGUUGGACAAAAGAAAAACUGUCUUUAUAUUAACGGCGAAUUUAACUUUUAAGUGAGAAGGSUUAAAUGAACUAGAGGGACGAUAAGACCCUAUAAAACUUUACAUUUUGGCUAAAUUUUAAAGAAUUUAAUAAAUAAAGUUUUAUUUAGUUAUUUUGUUUUGUUGGGGCGACACAAGUAAAAUUUUAGUUAACUGCUUGAACACAAAACAAUUAUAAUUGAAACAAGAUAUGAUCCUUAAUAAUGAUUAAAAGAUUAAGUUACUUUAGGGAUAACAGUGUAAUUUUUUUUGAGAGUCCAUAUCGAAAAGAGAGUUUGCAACCUCGAUGUUGAAUUAAGAUAUCUAUAUAACGCAGCUGUUAUACAAGAAGGU
Molecule: ribosomal RNA, 489 nt
Filed under: Travancoriana schirnerae
Lineage: Eukaryota; Metazoa; Arthropoda; Malacostraca; Decapoda; Gecarcinucidae
Description: partial 16S ribosomal RNA
Rfam family: Archaeal large subunit ribosomal RNA
Source: RNAcentral